RNAcentral lists this ribosomal RNA (497 nucleotides) under uncultured bacterium. RNAcentral's name for it is "partial 16S ribosomal RNA". It matches the Rfam family "Bacterial small subunit ribosomal RNA", at positions 29 to 507 of the family's 1533-position model. The record is from RNAcentral.
AAUGAACGCUGGCGGCGUGCCUAAUACAUGCAAGUCGAGCGAACAGACGAGGAGCUUGCUCCUUCGACGUUAGCGGCGGACGGGUGAGUCACACGUAUGUAACCUACAUAUAAGACUGGGAUAACUUCGGGAAACCGAAGCUAGCACCGGAUAAUAUUUCGAACCGCAUGGUUCGAUAGUGCAAGAUGGCUUUGCUAUCCCUUAUAGAUGGACCUGCGCCGUAUUAGCUAGUUGGUAAGGUAACGGCUUACCAAGGCGACGAUACGUAGCCGACCUGAGAGGGUGAUCGGCCACACUGGAACUGAGACACGGUCCAGACUCCUACGGGAGGCAGCAGUAGGGAAUCUUCCGCAAUGGGCGAAAGCCUGACGGAGCAACGCCGCGUGAGUGAAGAAGGUCUUCGGAUCGUAAAACACUGUUAUUAGGGAAGAACAAACGUGUAAGUAACUGUGCACGUCUUGACGGUACCUAAUGAGAAAGCCACGGCUAACUACGUG